Molecule: non-coding RNA, 189 nt
Organism: Coffea arabica (coffee)
Lineage: Eukaryota; Viridiplantae; Streptophyta; Magnoliopsida; Gentianales; Rubiaceae
Source: RefSeq, a predicted model, not a curated record
AGUAAAAAGAAAAUCUAGAUUAUCAAGGACUACACAGACUACGGUCUCAGAAUCGGAGCCGACAUCGGUUUCAUUUGAGGAAUACAUGUUUAUGGGAUGCCGUUCAUCUACUGACUCUGUUUCGACGCAUUCAAUGAGUCAGACAGUGAAUGGCCCUCCAAAUGCUGUUGCUCCCGAUAUCGAUGAAAG